CCUACGGGGGGCAGCAGUGAGGAAUAUUGGUCAAUGGACGAGAGUCUGAACCAGCCAAGUAGCGUGAAGGAUGACUGCCCUAUGGGUUGUAAACUUCUUUUAUAUGGGAAUAAAAUGUUCCACGUGUGGGAUUUUGUAUGUACCAUAUGAAUAAGGAUCGGCUAACUCCGUGCCAGCAGCCGCGGUAAUACGGAGGAUCCGAGCGUUAUCCGGAUUUAUUGGGUUUAAAGGGAGCGUAGGUGGAUUGUUAAGUCAGUUGUGAAAGUUUGCGGCUCAACCGUAAAAUUGCAGUUGACACUGGCAGUCUUGAGUACAGUAGAGGUGGGCGGAAUUCGUGGUGUAGCGGUGAAAUGCUUAGAUAUCACGAAGAACUCCGAUUGCGAAGGCAGUUCACUGGACUGCAACUGACACUGAGGCUCGAAAGUGUGGGUAUCAAACAGGAUUAGAUACCCGUGUAGUC
Molecule: ribosomal RNA, 460 nt
Filed under: uncultured bacterium
Lineage: Bacteria
Description: partial 16S ribosomal RNA
Rfam family: Bacterial small subunit ribosomal RNA
Source: RNAcentral